CAAUCCAAAGUUUAUGCUGUUCAUCGGAAUUCUCCGUCUCCAUCCAAUCCAAAGUAGACAUCAAUCAUUCAAGUUUAUAUAAAAAGAAAAGCCGAUCAUCGAUGAUCAGAUCGAUAUCUGUAAUGAUCUCCAUCCAUCUGCCGAGUCAUCACACCGGGGUAGUGAUUUACUCUGUUUUUUUUUAAUACGCUCUUCUAAAAAAAGAAUGGUGAUUUGAAUACAAACCAUGGGUGGAUUUAGUUUAUGUUUAUAUUAUUAGGUCGAUAACUUCUGCUGGAUUGGUUUUGGUUUGGUGAAUCUUUUGUUGUUUGUUUUCUAUGUGCAAUUUCGAGUUAUGACUUAACCGCUGCUUCCAUCGUCUAACAUUGAUUUUGUUUGUGUGUGUGUGCAUGUAUGUACGUGUUGAGUUUAUUGUCAAUGCUGGUGAGAUGCAUGAUGACACACUGAGAACCUUACUCCUUCUUCAUGUAUCGAUUUGUGAAUCCAGAUGAACGAGUGUCCACUGAGCUAAAGAAAGCCAUUUUGCAAGCCCCAACAUAUAAGCCGAUGAUGAUCAUCCCAUCUCUACAAUGCUAUGGCCUAUAUAUGCUCUCAGUUUGGUGGCUUCAGUAUUGGUGUAGAGGUUCUUGAGCAAUUACGUCACGGGUACGGUUCCGGCUAUCUUCUAGGAGGUUUGUAAGGUAUACA
Non-coding RNA from Camelina sativa (false flax), 687 nucleotides. The record is from RefSeq and is a predicted model, not a curated record. Lineage: Eukaryota; Viridiplantae; Streptophyta; Magnoliopsida; Brassicales; Brassicaceae.